RNAcentral lists this transfer RNA (90 nucleotides) under Allostella vacuolata. RNAcentral's name for it is "Stella vacuolata tRNA-Trp". Lineage: Bacteria; Pseudomonadati; Pseudomonadota; Alphaproteobacteria; Rhodospirillales; Allostellaceae. The record is from RNAcentral.
GCCCGACUGGGCGACGAUGCGCCCGCCCGCCUCCAGCGCCGGCAUCAGCCCCUGCGGGUUGAUCCGCCGGUACUCCUCCGCCGCCAGGCC